This 483-nucleotide ribosomal RNA is filed under the name uncultured eukaryote. RNAcentral describes it as "SSU rRNA". It matches the Rfam family "Eukaryotic small subunit ribosomal RNA", at positions 21 to 510 of the family's 1831-position model. The record is from RNAcentral.
UAGUCAUAUGCUUGUCUCAAAGAUUAAGCCAUGCAUGUCUAAGUAUACGCAAAUUAUACUGUGAAACUGCGAAUGGCUCAUUAAAUCAGUUAUAGUUUAUUUGAUGUUUCUUGCUACAUGGAUAACUGUGGUAAUUCUAGAGCUAAUACAUGCGUAAAAAGCCCCGACUUCUGGAAGGGGUGUAUUUAUUAGAUAAAAACCAUCCUCCUCGGAGUUUGGUGAUUCAUAAUAACUUCUCGAAUCGCACGGCCUUGUGCUGGCGAUGCUUCAUUCAAAUAUCUGCCCUAUCAACUGUCGAUGGUAGGAUAGAGGCCUACCAUGGUUGCAACGGGUAACGGGGAAUAAGGGUUCGAUUCCGGAGAGGGAGCCUGAGAAACGGCUACCACAUCCGAGGAAGGCAGCAGGCGCGCAAAUUACCCGAUCCCGACACGGGGAGGUAGUGACGAUAAAUAACGAUGCGGGGCCCUUUUGGGUCUUGUAAUU